RNAcentral lists this microRNA (24 nucleotides) under Prunus persica (peach). Its description in RNAcentral is "microRNA miRNA_349". Lineage: Eukaryota; Viridiplantae; Streptophyta; Magnoliopsida; Rosales; Rosaceae. The record is from RNAcentral.
GAAUGUUGUCUGGCUCGAGGCCCC